AGGCCCAGAGAGAGAAGCAGGGGCUGAUCCUCAGCCUCCAUGGCAGCUGUUGAUCAACCCUUGCCUCUCUCUCUCCUGGCC
This is a non-coding RNA of Myotis brandtii (Brandt's bat), 81 nucleotides long. Lineage: Eukaryota; Metazoa; Chordata; Mammalia; Chiroptera; Vespertilionidae. The record is from Rfam.